AGUGAACGCUGGCGGUAGGCCUAACACAUGCAAGUCGAACGGCAGCACAGUAAGAGCUUGCUCUUACGGGUGGCGAGUGGCGGACGGGUGAGGAAUACAUCGGAAUCUACUUUUUCGUGGGGGAUGACGUAGGGAAACUUACGCUAAUACCGCAUACGACCUACGGGUGAAAGCAGGGGAUCUUCGGACCUUGCGCGAUUGAAUGAGCCGAGGUCGGAUUAGCUAGUUGGCGGGGUAAAGGCCCACCAAGGCGAGGAUCCGUAGCUGGUCUGAGAGGAUGAUCAGCCACACUGGAACUGAGACACGGUCCAGCCUCCUACGGGAGGCAGCAGUGGGGAAUAGUGGACAAUGGGCGCAAGCCUGAUCCAGCCAUACCGCGUGGGUGAAGAAGGCCUUCGGGUUGUAAAGCCCUUUUGUUGGGAAAGAAAAUCAGCAGGUUAAUACCCCGCUGUUCUGACGGUACCCAAAGAAUAAGCACCGGCUACCUUCGU
This 491-nucleotide ribosomal RNA is filed under the name uncultured bacterium. Its description in RNAcentral is "partial 16S ribosomal RNA". It matches the Rfam family "Bacterial small subunit ribosomal RNA", at positions 29 to 506 of the family's 1533-position model. The record is from RNAcentral.